This 1703-nucleotide long non-coding RNA is filed under the name Homo sapiens (human). RNAcentral describes it as "HSALNT0100769". The record is from RNAcentral. Lineage: Eukaryota; Metazoa; Chordata; Mammalia; Primates; Hominidae.
CAGCUAUUUCAAACCAUAAAGAUGAGGGCUGUCCCCUAGGGAUGGUAGAACUAAGAGCCAGAAAAGACUAAGUUCUCGAUAAUCAUUUGGAACUGCAAUAGUGGUCCUGGACUACCUAUCUCUAGACUUCUUUUACAUAGGGAGAAAUAUACUUCUCUGUGAAGCCACAACCUUUUAGGAUUUUCUGUCACUUGCAGGUGAAUAUAAAUCUGUUGGAUACAAUAUUGUGUGCAUGGUAGGUGGGCCGUCAGUGGUGAGCCGGGGCUGCCAUUCAGAGAGGUGGUAGCAGCUCUCCAGACUGAAAAGGAUCUGGAUGGUUUCAGUGAUGGAGGCAGCAGAUUAUCUGGGCUGAGCUCAAAGUCCCAUGCAAAUGAAGGCUCCACCUACUCAGAAGUCCUCGGGCAGCAUUUAAGGACACGAAUCACCUGACUUCACUGCGGGGAAAUCCUCUCACGGCAUGACUUCCUGUCACAGUAGAAUAGAACCCACGCUCCGACCCAUGACCUACAGCUCUCAGCAUGCUCACUCUAAGAGCUCUGCCAGCUUACAGCCCUCACGUCCUCAUGGUGCCAGCAGCCUCCAAACCUGGUCCUGCGACACAGGAUCUCUGUUGGUUCCUCAUCCUGGGAUGCUUUUCCCAGACCCUCCAUGUCUAGCUCCUUCCUCCCAUUAUCUGACAGCUCUGUGGAAUGCAACCCCACCCACCCAUCAUCACUAUCUCCCAUUCUGCCUUAGUUUCUUCCUUCGUUCUUCCUUUUCUUUUUGACAAGGUCUUGCUCUGUUGCCCAGGCUGGAGUUCAAUAGUGCAAUCAUGGCUCACUGCAGCCUCAACCUCCUUGAUCCUUGAUCCUCCCAUCUCAGCCUCCCAGGUAGCUGGGACCACAGGUGUAAGCCACCAAACCUGGCUAAUUUUUGUUGUUGUUGUUUGCGUUUUUGAGAAAGGGUCUCACUCUGUUGCUCCCUGGGUUCAAGUGAUUCUCCCAUCUGAGCCUCCCGAGUAUCUGGGACUAUAGGCACGUGCCACUACGCCCGGCUAAUUUUUGUUUUUGUUUUUGCUUUUGUUUUUGUUUGAGACUGAGUCUCACUCUGUUGCCCAGGCUGGAGUGUAGUGGUGCAAUCUCCACUCACCGCAACCUCCACCUCCUGGGUUCAAGCGAUUCUCCUGCCUCAGUCUCCCAAGUAGCUGGGAUUACAGGCGCAUGCCACUAUGCCCGGCUAAUUUUUGUAUUUUUAGUAGAGAUGGGGUUUUGCCAUGUUGGCCAGGCUGGUCUUGAACUCCUGACCUCAGGUGAUCCACCCACCUCAGCCUCCCAAAGUGCUAGGAUUACAGGCAUGAGCCACUGCACCCAGCCAGACUUGCUAAUUUUUGUAUUUUUUUUGUAGAGACGGAGUUUCACUAUGUUGCCCAGGCUGGUCUUGAACUUCUGGGCCAAGUGAUCUGCCAAAGUGCUGGGAUUACAUGUGUGAACCACCAUGACUGGCCUGCCUUAGUUUUCUUAGUAGUAUUUAUCCCUGCCUAAAAUUCUCUUCGAUGACUAUUGUCUUACACAUGCAUUUGUUUACUGAUUUCUCUCCUUCCCUAGAACGUACAAGUUCCAUGGAAGCAGAGACUUAGUUGGCUUGUUCACCACUCUAUCUCCAAUGCCUAGAUGGUGGCUGGCACUCAUGAGGAGCUCAAUAAAUAUAUGUUGAAUGAAUGGAUG